Molecule: ribosomal RNA, 253 nt
Filed under: uncultured bacterium
Lineage: Bacteria
Description: partial 16S ribosomal RNA
Rfam family: Bacterial small subunit ribosomal RNA
Source: RNAcentral
UACGUAGGGCGCAAGCGUUGUCCGGAAUUAUUGGGCGUAAAGAGCUCGUAGGCGGCCUGUUGCGUCCGCUGUGAAAUCCCGGGGCUCAACUCCGGAUCUGCGGUGGGUACGGGCAGACUAGAGUGAUGUAGGGGAGACUGGAAUUCCUGGUGUAGCGGUGAAAUGCGCAGAUAUCAGGAGGAACACCGAUGGCGAAGGCAGGUCUCUGGGCAUUAACUGACGCUGAGGAGCGAAAGCAUGGGGAGCGAACAGG